CAGUAGCCGCGUGAAUACGUAGGGUGCAAGCGUUAAUCGGAAUUACUGGGCGUAAAGCGUGCGCAGGCGGUUUGUUAAGACAGAUGUGAAAUCCCCGGGCUCAACCUGGGAACUGCAUUUGUGACUGGCAAGCUAGAGUGUGGCAGAGGGGGGUGGAAUUCCGCGUGUAGCGGUGAAAUGCGUAGAUAUGUGGAGGAACACCGAUGGCGAAGGCAAUCCCCUGGGCCUGUACUGACGCUCAUGCACGAAAGCGUGGGGAGCAAACAGGAUUAGAUACCCGGGUAGUCCCUGUCUCUUAUAC
This 301-nucleotide ribosomal RNA is filed under the name uncultured bacterium. RNAcentral's name for it is "partial 16S ribosomal RNA". It matches the Rfam family "Bacterial small subunit ribosomal RNA", at positions 509 to 807 of the family's 1533-position model. The record is from RNAcentral.